Molecule: long non-coding RNA, 1418 nt
Organism: Mya arenaria
Lineage: Eukaryota; Metazoa; Mollusca; Bivalvia; Myida; Myidae
Exons: 3
Source: RefSeq, a predicted model, not a curated record
UUCUAAUAUGUGAAGCUUUGAAAAUAUAAGGCAAAUUAAAACCAGAGAUUUUUUUAAAUAACUCUUUUAGAGAAAAAAUAUCAUAAAUGCACAGUUGUUGAGAAAACUCCUCUUUUUUAUUUAAAUAUUUUUACAUAAAAGAAUAAACCACGAAUGCGCAUAAUGUAUCUUACAAUAAUCUUAGAAAAUCGGUGAACUAGUCUAUUAUCUGAUUACCCGGUUAUGACACGUACGGGUCAGAUGCAAGCGUCCAGUAGACUAGGGAUAUCGAGGUCAACACGCUGGCGGUUGGGGAAAGGUAUUUUCAUUUUCUUUUUACAUAGUGAACUGAAAAACUAUUGUUAUUUUAUAUUUAUCAUUUUAAAAGCAGGUUUCGUGUCUUUCGAUUUAAACAGUAGCACGUUUUUUUUUGCGGUAUUCCUACUUUCAUUUUGGACAACAUUUGAAGGCUUUUCCAAAUUGCGUCAUUAAAACCAGGAAUUAUAGCCGUCCAAUGAAAACGCUUCUUGCAUUUCAGACAUAGGCGAGUGUGCGGUCAAGGUCAAAAUUGCGAGAGGGUGAUUCGAAGUGAAAUACCGCAACAAAAACGUUCGAUUUGGACAUUAACGCGUCUAACUCAAUGAGUCACAAUGUUUCUACCACAAGAGUUGUAAAUAUUGAACAGAUAGGGCUUCAUCUUCAAGAUGAAAACUGCAAAAAAUGGCCAACAAUAAUGGGCCAGGACUGAGGAGUUCCAAGAAAUGAGUAUUCUUCAGCCCACAAAUAUCAGUGCUGCCCCGCUGCCCAAAAUGAGAGUGUGGCAACAAGUAAAUGGACCUUGACAAAUGUCCUCUAUGUUAGAGCCAGUCCCUUACACAAGUGGCCUACUUUUGCACAGCUGAGGUUGUUAUCAAACGCAGCAGUAGGUAUGAAAUGCGGAAACUGUUCCAACUUGAUCUUCAACAGUUGAGUUACUCCUCAUCACAAUACCUGAACUGAAAACAAUCGGUGACGAUCCAGCACUUCACUUCUACCUCACAGUGCUCUUCCCUAUAAACGCUAGAAGAAAGUUUGAAAAUGAAAAACUUGUCAUUGCAAGUGUGAAAGGACCAAUUGAUUUUUAACGAAACAACCUGCCUCAAUGCUUUAGCUGACACUACAUCAAGUCAACACAAGGCAAUUUGUUUUUCUCGCAACCUGACCGGUAUGUUGAAUCUGAUCAAAAUUGUACACAAACACUGGUCAAGAAUAUAGAAAUACAAGUUGUAUGAUCAGUAACCUAAAAUAUUCUUGAAUAUUUGAACAUAAUAAAAGAGUAUUUGUUAAAGUUAUACAUUUUGUGUGUAGUGUAGGUAAGAUCAAUGUCAAGGUUAUUUUGGCUAAAAAAAAGGAAAAUGAGUCUUGAUUCAUAACAUCGAUGAAAUAGCAAGCCUGAAGUA